GAUGAGCGCUGGCGGCGUGCCUAAUACAUGCAAGUCGAGCGAACGGACGAGAAGCUUGCUUCUCUGAUGUUAGCGGCGGACGGGUGAGUAACACGUGGAUAACCUACCUAUAAGACUGGGAUAACUUCGGGAAACCGGAGCUAGUACCGGAUAAUAUUUUGAACCGCAUGGUUCAAAAGUGAAAGACGGUCUUGCUGUCACUUAUAGAUGGAUCCGCGCUGCAUUAGCUAGUUGGUAAGGUAACGGCUUACCAAGGCAACGAUGCAUAGCCGACCUGAGAGGGUGAUCGGCCACACUGGAACUGAGACACGGUCCAGACUCCUACGGGAGGCAGCAGUAGGGAAUCUUCCGCAAUGGGCGAAAGCCUGACGGAGCAACGCCGCGUGAGUGAUGAAGGUCUUCGGAUCGUAAAACUCUGUUAUUAGGGAAGAACAUAUGUGUAAGUAACUGUGCACAUCUUGACGGUACCUAAUCAGAAAGCCACGGCUAACUACGUG
Molecule: ribosomal RNA, 497 nt
Filed under: uncultured bacterium
Lineage: Bacteria
Description: partial 16S ribosomal RNA
Rfam family: Bacterial small subunit ribosomal RNA
Source: RNAcentral